CAGCAGCCACGGGAAUACAGAGGGUGCGAGCGUUAAUCGGAUUUACUGGGCGUAAAGCGUGCGUAGGCGGCUUUUUAAGUCGGAUGUGAAAUCCCUGAGCUUAACUUAGGAAUUGCAUUCGAUACUGGGAAGCUAGAGUAUGGGAGAGGAUGGUAGAAUUCCAGGUGUAGCGGUGAAAUGCGUAGAGAUCUGGAGGAAUACCGAUGGCGAAGGCAGCCAUCUGGCCUAAUACUGACGCUGAGGUACGAAAGCAUGGGGAGCAAACAGGAUUAGAUACCCCCGUAGUCCCUGUCUCUUAUAU
This 301-nucleotide ribosomal RNA is filed under the name uncultured bacterium. RNAcentral describes it as "partial 16S ribosomal RNA". It matches the Rfam family "Bacterial small subunit ribosomal RNA", at positions 509 to 809 of the family's 1533-position model. The record is from RNAcentral.